CCGGGCUCAACCUGGGAACUGCGCUUGUGACUGCAAGGCUAGAGUACGGCAGAGGGGGGUGGAAUUCCACGUGUAGCAGUGAAAUGCGUAGAGAUGUGGAGGAACACCAAUGGCGAAGGCAGCCCCCCUGGGUCGAUACUGACGCUCAUGCACGAAAGCGUGGGUAGCAAACAGGAUUAGAUACCCCUGGUAGUCCACGCCCCUAAAACGAUGUCAACUAGGUGUUGGGUGGGUAAAACCAUUUAGUACCGUAGCUAACGCGUGAAGUUGACCGCCUGGGGAGUACGGCCGCAAGGUUAAAACUCAAAGGAAUUGACGGGGACCCGCACAAGCGGUGGAUGAUGUGGAUUAAUUCGAUGCAACGCGAAAAACCUUACCUACCCUUGACAUGUCAGAAACUUGGCAGAGAUGCCUUGGUGCCCGAAAGGGAAUCUGAACACAGGUGCUGCAUGGCUGUCGUCAGCUCGUGUCGUGAGAUGUUGGUUAAGUCCCGCAACGAGCG
RNAcentral lists this ribosomal RNA (502 nucleotides) under uncultured bacterium. RNAcentral's name for it is "bacterial SSU rRNA". It matches the Rfam family "Bacterial small subunit ribosomal RNA", at positions 603 to 1098 of the family's 1533-position model. The record is from RNAcentral.